AAUGAGGUGCCUGAUUAUAAAAGGGUUAUUGUGAUAGAAUAAAUAAUGCAAAAAUAUUGCCCUCAUUA
This 68-nucleotide transfer RNA is filed under the name Anaplecta sp. 4 ZQW-2020. RNAcentral describes it as "tRNA-Ile". Lineage: Eukaryota; Metazoa; Arthropoda; Insecta; Blattodea; Anaplectidae. The record is from RNAcentral.